GAUGAACGCUGGCGGCGUGCCUAAUACAUGCAAGUCGAGCGAACGGACGAGAAGCUUGCUUCUCUGAUGUUAGCGGCGGACGGGUGAGUAACACGUGGAUAACCUACCUAUAAGACUGGGAUAACUUCGGGAAACCGGAGCUAAUACCGGAUGAUAUUUUGAACCGCAUGGUUCAAAAGUGAAAGACGGUCUUGCUGUCACUUAUAGAUGGAUCCGCGCUGCAUUAGCUAGUUGGUAAGGUAACGGCUUACCAAGGCAACGAUGCAUAGCCGACCUGAUAGGGUGAUCGGCCACACUAGAACUGCGACACGGUCCAGGCUCCUACGCGAGGCAGCAGUAGGGAAUCUUCCGCAAUGGGCGAAAGCCUGACGGAGCAACGCCGCGUGAGUGAUGAAGGUCUUCGGAUCGUAAAACUCUGUUAUUAGGGAAGAACAUAUGUGUAAGUAACUGUGCACAUCUUGACGGUACCUAAUCAGAAAGCCACGGCUAACUACGUG
RNAcentral lists this ribosomal RNA (497 nucleotides) under uncultured bacterium. RNAcentral's name for it is "partial 16S ribosomal RNA". It matches the Rfam family "Bacterial small subunit ribosomal RNA", at positions 28 to 507 of the family's 1533-position model. The record is from RNAcentral.